Molecule: ribosomal RNA, 253 nt
Filed under: uncultured bacterium
Lineage: Bacteria
Description: partial 16S ribosomal RNA
Rfam family: Bacterial small subunit ribosomal RNA
Source: RNAcentral
UACAGAGGGGGCAAGCGUUAUUCGGAAUUAUUGGGCGUAAAGGGCGCGUAGGCGGCUUUGCAAGUGACGGGUGAAAGCCCUCGGCUUAACCGAGGAACUGCCUGUGAGACUGUAAGGCUUGAGACCGGGAGAGGUGAGUGGAAUUCCCAGUGUAGCGGUGAAAUGCGUAGAUAUUGGGAGGAACACCAGUGGCGAAGGCGGCUCACUGGACCGGAACUGACGCUGAGGCGCGAAAGCGUGGGGAGCAAACAGG